GGAGAGGUGACCGAGUGGUCGAAGGUGCACGACUGGAAAUCGUGUGUGCCGGCGACGGCACCGCGGGUUCGAAUCCCGCCCUCUCCG
This 87-nucleotide transfer RNA is filed under the name Sandaracinaceae bacterium. RNAcentral's name for it is "tRNA-Ser". It matches the Rfam family "tRNA". From Rfam's summary of the family: Transfer RNA (tRNA) molecules are approximately 80 nucleotides in length. The record is from RNAcentral. RNAcentral also lists the same sequence under 1 other name. Lineage: Bacteria; Pseudomonadati; Myxococcota; Polyangiales; Sandaracinaceae.